GCCUCCUUAGCUCAGUUGGUAGAGCAGCUCAUUCGUAAUGAGCAGGUCGCCGGUCCGAGUCCGGUGGGAGGCU
This 73-nucleotide transfer RNA is filed under the name Bacteroidales bacterium. RNAcentral describes it as "tRNA-Thr". It matches the Rfam family "tRNA". From Rfam's summary of the family: Transfer RNA (tRNA) molecules are approximately 80 nucleotides in length. The record is from RNAcentral. Lineage: Bacteria; Pseudomonadati; Bacteroidota; Bacteroidia; Bacteroidales.